CAAAUUUCUGGGAUUUUAAUGGGAUUUAAUGGGAUUGAUUGGGAUUGAUUGGGAUUUAGUGAGAUUGGGAUUGGUGGGAAUGGGAUUUAUUGGGAUUUGUUGGGAUUUAUUGGGAUUUGUUGGGAUUUAUUGGGAUUUAUUGGGAUUUAUUUGGAUUUAUUUGGAAUAGGAUUUAUUGGGAUUGAUUGGGAUUGAUUGGGGUUUAUUGGGAUUUAUUGGGAUUUAUUGGGAUUGGGAUUUAUUUGGAAUGGGAUUUAUUGGGAUUGAUUGGGAUUUAUUGGGAUUUAUUGGGAUUUAUGGAGAUUUAUUGGGAUUUAUUGGGAUUCAUUGGGAAUGGGAUUUAUUGGGAUUGAUUGUGAAUCGGAUUGGUGGGAAUGAGAUUUAUUGGGAUUUAUUGGGAUUUAUUGGGAUUUAUUGGGAACUCCCUGGAGAACCACAGGAACUCCAGUUAUUCCGUGAGAAUUCCCAAAAUUUGGGAUUUAUUGGGAUUGAUUGGGAUUGAUUGGGAUUUAUUGGGAUUGGGAUUCAUUGGGAAUGGGAUUGAUUGGGAUUGAUUGGGAUUUAUUGGGGUUUAUGGGGAUUGAUUGGGAUUUAUUGGGAUUGGGAUUUAUUUGGAAUGGGAUUUAUUGGGAUUGAUUGGGAUUUAUAGGAAUUUAUUGGAAUUUAUUGGGAUUUAUUGGGAUUUAUUGGGAUUUAUUUGGAAUGGGAUUGAUUGGGAUUUAUUGGAAUUUAUUGGAUUUAUUGGGAUUUAUUGGGAUUGGGAUUCAUUGGGAGUGGGAUUUAUUGGGAUUGAUUUGGAUUCAUUGGGAUUCAUUGGGAUUUAUUGGGAUUUAUUGGGAUUUAUUGGGAUUUAUUUGGAUUGGGAUUUAUUGGGAAUGGGAUUUAUUGGGAUUGAUUGGGAUUGAUUGGGGUUUAUUGGCAUUUAUUGGGAUUUAUUGGGAUUUAUUGGGAUUUAUUGGGAUUGGGAUUUAUUGGGAAUGGGAUUGAUUGGGAUUUUUUGGGAUUUAUUGGCAUUUAUUAGGAUUUAUUGGGAAUUAUUGGGAUUGGGAUUUAUUGGGAUUUAUUGGGAAUGGGAUUGGUGGGAAUGAGAUUUACUGGGAUUUAUUGGGAUUUAUUGGGAAUUAUUGGGAUUGGGAUUUAUUGGGAUUUAUUGGGAUUUAUUGGGAUUGGGAUUCAUUGGGAGUGGGAUUUAUUGGGAUUGAUUGGGAUUGAUUGGGAUUUAUCAGGAUUUAUUAGGAUUUAUUGGGAUUCAUUGGGAUUCAUUGGGAUUUAUUGGGAUUUAGUGAGAUUGGGAUUUAUUGGGAUUCAUUGGGAUUCAUUGGGAUUUAUUGGGAUUUAUUGGGAUUGAUUGGGAUUGAUUGGGAUUUAUUGGGAUUAAUUGGGAUUUAUUGGGAAUGGGAUUGGUGGGAAUGGGAUUUAUUGGGAUUGAUUGGGAUUUAUUGGGAUUUAUUGGGAUUUAGUGAGAUUGGUGUUGGUGGGAAUGGGACUUAUUGGGAUUUGUUGGGAUUUAUUGGGAUUUAUUUGGAUUUAUUUGGAAUAGGAUUGAUUGGGAAUGGGAUUUAUUGGGAUUCAUUGGGAUUCAUUGGGAUUUAUUGGGAUUCAUUGGGAUUUAUUGGGAUUUAUUUGGAUUGGGAUUUAUUGGGAAUGGGAUUUAUUGGGAUUGAUUGGGAUUCAUUGGGAUUUAUUGGGAUUUACUGGGAACUCCCUGGAGCACCACAGAAAUUCCAGUUAUUCCGUGAGAAUUCCCAAAAUUUGGGAUUUAUUGGGGUUUAUUGGGAUUGAUUGGGAUUGAUUGGGAUUGAUUGGGGUUUAUUGGGAUUGAUUGGGAUUGGGAUUCAUUGGGAUUCAUUGGGAUUUAUUGGGAAGGGGAUUCAUUGGGAUUUAUUGGGAUUUUUUGGGAUUUAGUGAGAUUGGGAUUCAUUGGGAUUUAUUUGGAAUGGGAUUUAUUGGGAUUUGGGGGAUUGGGAUUUAUUUGCAUUGGGAUUUA
This 1987-nucleotide long non-coding RNA is filed under the name Zonotrichia albicollis (white-throated sparrow). RNAcentral describes it as "lncRNA (ENSZALG00000001831.1)". The record is from RNAcentral. Lineage: Eukaryota; Metazoa; Chordata; Aves; Passeriformes; Passerellidae.